This 399-nucleotide ribosomal RNA is filed under the name uncultured bacterium. RNAcentral's name for it is "partial 16S ribosomal RNA". It matches the Rfam family "Bacterial small subunit ribosomal RNA", at positions 355 to 745 of the family's 1533-position model. The record is from RNAcentral.
UGGGGAAUAUUGCACAAUGGGCGAAAGCCUGAUGCAGCAAUGCCGCGUGUGUGAAGAAGGCCUUCGGUUGUAAAGCACUUUGUCCGGAAAGAAAUCCUUGGCUCUAAUACAGUCGGGGAUGACGGUACCGGAAGAAUAAGCACCGGCUAACUACGUGCCAGCAGCCGCGGUAAUACGUAGGGUGCAAGCGUUAAUCGGAAUUACUGGGCGUAAAGCGUGCGCAGGCGGUUUGCUAAGACCGAUGUGAAAUCCCCGGGCUCAACCUGGGAACUGCAUUGGUGACUGGCAGGCUAGAGUAUGGCAGAGGGGGGUAGAAUUUCCCUACGUGUAGCAGUGAAAUGCGUAGAGAUCUGGAGGAAUACCGGUGGCGAAGGCGGCCCCCUUGGACGAAGACUGACG